AGGACGAACGCUGGCGGCGCGCUUAACACAUGCAAGUCGAGCGAGAACCGGUCCUUCGGGACCGGGGAAAGCGGCGAACGGGUGAGUAACACGUGGGUAAUCAACCCUCAGUACCGGGAUAGCCCGAGGAAACUCGGAUUAAUACCGGAUGGCCCAACAGCUCUUCGGGGCGGUUGGAAAAGGUAGCUUCGGCCUCCGACUGAGGACGAGCCCGCGGCGGAUUAGUUAGUUGGCGGGGUAAUGGCCCACCAAGACGAUGAUCUGUA
Molecule: ribosomal RNA, 266 nt
Filed under: uncultured bacterium
Lineage: Bacteria
Description: partial small subunit ribosomal RNA
Rfam family: Bacterial small subunit ribosomal RNA
Source: RNAcentral